Molecule: long non-coding RNA, 175 nt
Organism: Eucalyptus grandis
Lineage: Eukaryota; Viridiplantae; Streptophyta; Magnoliopsida; Myrtales; Myrtaceae
Exons: 3
Source: RefSeq, a predicted model, not a curated record
GGAAGGUGCCAUUCUUGAAAGGAGGCUAAAGUAUCUAAGGAGUUGCUCUUAUCAGAAACUUCAAAGGGUCUUGUUCAUGUAUUUUUUGCCCAGCGUACGACAUCAAAGAAGAUACAUUCAUUUGCGGCCCAAUGCCCGUUCGACUCUCACCCGGAAAAAAAAAAAAAAAAAAAAA